AUACGUAGGGGGCGAGCGUUGUCCGGAAUGAUUGGGCGUAAAGGGCGCGUAGGCGGCCCGGUAAGUCUGGAGUGAAAGUCCUGUUUUUAAGAUGGGAAUUGCUUUGGAUACUGUCGGGCUUGAGUGCAGGAGAGGGAAAUGGAAUUCCCAGUGUAGCGGUGAAAUGCGUAGAGAUUGGGAGGAACACCAGUGGCGAAGGCGACUUACUGGACUGUAACUGACGCUGAGGCGCGAAAGUGUGGGGAGCAAACAGGAUUAGAUACCCUGGUAGUCCACACUGUAAACGAUGAAUGCUAGGUGUAGGGGGUAUCGACCCCUUCUGUGCCGCAGUCAACACAAUAAGCAUUCCGCCUGGGGAGUACGGCCGCAAGGUUGAAACUCAAAUGAAUUGACGGGG
This 397-nucleotide ribosomal RNA is filed under the name uncultured bacterium. RNAcentral describes it as "partial 16S ribosomal RNA". It matches the Rfam family "Bacterial small subunit ribosomal RNA", at positions 523 to 918 of the family's 1533-position model. The record is from RNAcentral.